Small nucleolar RNA from Talpa occidentalis (Iberian mole), 64 nucleotides. RefSeq annotates it as small nucleolar RNA SNORD43. Lineage: Eukaryota; Metazoa; Chordata; Mammalia; Eulipotyphla; Talpidae. The record is from RefSeq and is a predicted model, not a curated record. The transcript has a single exon.
CACGCGUGAUGAACUUCUUGACGGGCGGACAGAGACUCUGUGCUGAUUGUCAGGUUCUGAUUUG